AUGUGUUUUGAUUUUAGGCCACAGAACUUUGAAUUGCAUUCAUUGGAUAGGAAAAAAGUUGUCAAGUCAGUGGCCAGGCUAUUCACAGUGUUGGCAGUGGCCAGCUCUGAGGCCUUGGAGGAAGCAGCCGGGCAUUGGAGAACGGACAGUGUCCUUGGCCCUGGAGGAGGAGACAGCAGGAUCCGGUGUGCUGUGGUGUGGACAGACUCUAGACAUCUUCCUCAGUGGGGUCACUGAAAAGGACAUCAAGAUGUCAGUCAUUUAUUUCACUUCCCGGGCAUUAGGUGGGUAGACAAGGCAUUCGUGAGUGGGAUGGUGGUUCUUUCUGUCAACAAGUCAGAGGUUGGAUUAUGAAAAUUAACUUUGAGCAAGUGACUCUGUGUUUCUAUCAAGAAUAUGCAUAUUGGGACUUCCCUGGUGGCACAGUGGUUAAGAAUCUGCCUGCCAAUGCAGGGGACAUGGGUUUGAGCCCUGGUCCAGGAAGAUCCCACAUGCUGAGGAGCAACUAAGCCUGUGUGCCACAACUACUGAGCCCGCGAGCCACACCUACUGAGCCCGCGUGCCACAGCUACUGAAGCCUGCGCUCCUAGAGCCUAUGCUCUGCAACAAGAGAAGCCACAGCAAUGAGAAGCCCGUGCACCACAACGAAGAGUAGCCCCUACUUGCCGCAACUAGAGAAAGCCCGCGCACAACAAUGGAGACCCAACACAGCCAAAACUAAAUUUAAAACAAAACAAAACAAACAAAAAAAGAAUAUGUAUAUUAAUGUCAUUUAGACUCUUUUGGGGGAAAUAUUAAAUAUCUCUAUUAAUUUUAGCAUUUGUACAUCUGUGAUUUCUUGAACAGUAAUGGUAAUAAAGAGAAAAGGGUUCCUCCCCUGCCUUCUUACAAUCUAUUUAGUGAAACCUGAUGGAUCAUGUGAAAGCUCUUAAUUCUUCAAGCCAUUGGUAUCUGAAUUAGGAGUUUAUUUUAUUUUAUUUUUUUACAAGAGUCCUUGUAUGUUAUUUAUUCUUUUCUUUUUUGCUUUAUUGAAGGAUAGUUGACUUAUAUUAGUUUCAGGUGUACAACAUACUGAUUCAGCAUUUUUAUAAAUUACACACCAUACAAAAAGGCUUAAUUUCUAACCCAAAUAAGAAAAAAUGCACUCCUAAUUUAUCCCUCACCCGUCUUUCCCCUUUGGUAACCAUAAGUUUGUUUUCUGUGUCUGUGAGUCUAUUUCUAUUUUGUAAAUAAGUUCAUUCAUAUCAUUUUUUAGAUUCCACAUAAAAGUGAUAUCAUAUGAUAUUUGUCUUUCUCUGUCUGACUUACUGCACUUAGUAUGAUAGUCUCUAGGUACAUCCAUGUUGCUGCAAAUGGCAUUAUUUCAUUCUUUUUUAUGGCUAAUAUUCCAUUGUAUAUGUAUACUACAUCUUCUUUAUCCAUUUAUCUGUCCAUGGACAUUUAGGUUGUUUCCAUGUCUUGGCUAUUGUAAAUUGCUGCUAUGAACAUUGGGGUGCAUGUAUCUUUUUGAAUUAGAGUUUUCUCCUGAUAUAUGCCCAGGAAUGGUAUUGCUGGUUCACAUGGUAGCUCUGUUUUUGUUUUUUAAAGAACCUCCAUACUGUUCUCCAUAGUGGCUGCACCAAUUUACAUUCCUACCAACAGUGUAGGAGGGUUCCCUUUUCUC
Molecule: long non-coding RNA, 1663 nt
Organism: Delphinapterus leucas (beluga whale)
Lineage: Eukaryota; Metazoa; Chordata; Mammalia; Artiodactyla; Monodontidae
Source: Ensembl